This 480-nucleotide ribosomal RNA is filed under the name uncultured bacterium. RNAcentral's name for it is "partial 16S ribosomal RNA". It matches the Rfam family "Bacterial small subunit ribosomal RNA", at positions 28 to 507 of the family's 1533-position model. The record is from RNAcentral.
GACGAACGCUGGCGGCGCGCUUAACACAUGCAAGUCGAGCGAUGAAACUUUAACAGAACCCUUCGGGGCGAAGAUAAAGUGGAUUAGCGGCGGACGGGUGAGUAACACGUGAGUAACCUGCCUUAGACAUUGGGAUAGCCUCGGGAAACCGGGAUUAAUACCAAAUAAAAUCAUAAUGACACAUGUCAUAACGAUCAAAACUCCGGUGGUCUAAGAUGGACUCGCGUCCCAUUAGCUAGUUGGUAGAGUAAAAGCCUACCAAGGCGACGAUGGGUAGCCGGCCUGAGAGGGUGAACGGCCACAUUGGAACUGAGAAACGGUCCAAACUCCUACGGGAGGCAGCAGUGGGGAAUAUUGCACAAUGGAGGGAACUCUGAUGCAGCGACGCCGCGUGAACGAAGAAGGCUUCCGAGUCGUAAAGUUCUUUUAUAUGGGAAGAUAAUGACGGUACCACAAGAAAAAGCCCCGGCUAACUACGUG